Molecule: long non-coding RNA, 3757 nt
Organism: Vespa velutina
Lineage: Eukaryota; Metazoa; Arthropoda; Insecta; Hymenoptera; Vespidae
Exons: 4
Source: RefSeq, a predicted model, not a curated record
CGUGUUAAGUUAUCGGAGACAUAUGCGCGUGUCAUGACCGUGAAGUCAAGUUGGAGUCUCUUGUCGGACAAUAUACAAUGAGAGAAAGAAAAGAAAAGAAAAGAAACAAGGGAAAAAAAAGAAAAGAAAAAAGAUUCCUUGAGGCGAUAAAUUCCUAAGGUUCCGAGUCGUAAAGGGGAAUCGAUGGGACGCUAUCACCGGUUAUAAAAUACCUAGAGCAAUCGUCCGAUAUCUACGAUACGUAUGUAUGUAUGUAUGUACGUACGUAUGUACAUACGUGGGUAUAUCCAUCUCGAAGGAGUUAACAGCCAAGUAAAUAGGCGUAAUCAUGUUGAUAACCGAGCUCUCUUUUUCGCAUAUGAAAUAAUAAUCAAUUAACUCUCGGCGAUGUCGCUUAUACAGUAUGCACUUGUGAAUAAUUGAUCUUACGAAAAAAAAAAAAAAAAAAACAAAUAGGGAAAAAGGAAAAGUAAAAGAAAAGAAAAAUGAGAAAAAACAGUGAAAGAAAUGGAAAUAACGAGAACAAGAACAAAUAAAAAAUGAAUACGAAGUUAACGAAGCGAAAGUGCGAAGAAACGAUGGCGACUUUUGAUUCCGUGCUCGUCGAGAACUCCCCGAGAGGUCAAUGACACGAGCUUCAAGGAGGCCGGAUAAUAUGGAAAGGGAAGACACUCGUUUGUGUAAUACAUAUACAGAUGAUAUACAUAGUGUAAGUACGUGUGUAUUCAUUCGUUCUGACACAACUACUGAGUAAGAAUGUAUAUAACGAAAUCCUUUCGAACGAAUGAAAUCUAGAAUAAGUAAAUACUUAUUUACUUACUCAAUUCGCUAUUUGAUCGAUUGUAUUGCAGUAAAAAAUUCGACAAAAAUUUUUCAUACCUUUUUUGAUCGAUUUUUCCUAGGUAAUUUUUUUUCCCCCAUCUACCUUCACUGGGAAACGCCUAGAGGCCCUAGUGACAGUGUUCUAAGCGCUAGAGACAUCUAUCGUUCGAAGCCGAAAGGUAGAAGUUUGAGGAACGCCCGAUAGAGCGCAUGAUCGACCCUUUUCCAGAUGGCCGCCGCUAAAGAUUCUCCGAUUGGUCGAUUCGACGGCGGCCAUCAUGAAUUCCAAGCAUAAAAGACAUAAUGAGGCCCGUGAUGGCCGACUCGGCCGCCAAUGACGUCAUGGGGGUGGCACUCGACGAAAAAAAAAAGAACCAGGGAAUUCGAAAAAUGGCGUCCUGCACGGUGCAGCUUAUAAGUACCUAAAGCGUAUAAGGAAUCGAAGCGACUAGGAAAUUCCGUCUUAUUCCGUGAUAGCGUCAACCAAGAAAUAUUAAAUCUGACACCCUUUGGAUUGACAUGUAACUCAAAGGGCAAUAAACCUAGUGACUUUGCGAACGAUAUAGACAGACAACGACCUCGAUGGAAAGAGAAAGAGAGAAAGAUAGAUAUAUACAUAUAGAAAGAGAGACAACGAGAGAAAGAAAGAGAGAGAGAGAGAGAGAGAGAGAGAGAGAGAAAGAGACAAACAGACAGAGACAGAGGGGUAUGUCGAAGGACCGUGCGUAAAAACUUUUAUGAUCACAGUCAAUAAAGUGACGUAACUUAAGUGGUCUACGAACGAACGACGGCAGAGUCGGUGACGUCAGAAAAAGAGUACGGAAGUCGCGCGUAAAUGCCACGUGAAGCUCGAUGGAUGGUCGGCAAGGGGUUGUCGGGAAGGAAGGAGACAGCGGAGGAUGGAGGGUGGUGGAGAAAGCGGUCGUUGUCGCGGGUAAGAGACUCCGACACUUCAGGAAGCAGAGACGAGGAGGGAAGUACCGAACUCAAGGAAAUGCGUGAAUGAGAGAAGGAGAAAGAAAGAAAGAAAGUGCCAGAGAGAGAGAAAGAGAAAGACAGUGAGAUAGACAGAAAGAAUAAGAGAGAGAGAUAGAGAGAGAGAUAGAGAGAGAGAGAGAGAGAGAGAGAGAGAAAGAGCGAGCUGGUUGAUGGUUUACGACAUUCCGUUGAUGGCCGUAGUGGCGUAGUUGUGCCGUCGAGCCCAUAAAAAUGUAACGAGCCUGUAAACGUUCGUUUAUAUUGCCUUGCCUUUACGCCCAUCCGGAUUGGGGCAGGUCGGGAAGUCGAGUGGUACCGUGUGUGACGUCACGUAAGAAGACAGACGUGCGACCCCGCGUGGCCCGCUAUGAUUCGUCUACCACCCCCUCCCUCCCCGCCACUUCACCUUAUCUCCCACCCCCGCCUCCCCCCCCCAACCUCUUUCCCUACGCUCGAGGGCCUACUACCUAACUGUUUUUCUACGCGGACCGCCACGUAGGUAUAAUAGCAUCGUAGACUCGUUUUAGAGCCGAUAAACGCGCGACACACCGCAGACUGCCUGUCUCUCCUUUGCAUUACGUCGACGGCCCCCGACUCUCGUCGUUGCCGUUGCCGUUGCUCUGCUUAUGAUGCUUCUGUUAUUGCUCGAGUCUUACACAUCCGGCGACCUUGAAACGUCGCUCGUAAUCCUCGCCAACGCGAAUAUAAUAAAAGAAUACCUUUAACGAAUACGUAUUAGCUUUAGUCGUGUGUCUCUUACGAUAUCUACUUAAUAUUUCAAAGUAAUACUAUUCUCUUCGGUCAAUGUAACUCAAAUAUUUAUAGUAUUUACUUUAUUAUUAUAGUAUUUAUUGUUUUUCUAUUGUCUCAUUCAUAAAAAUUUGUCGAACUUAUUAAUCGUUUCGUUCAUCAAGGUAAGAAAUUAUUAUCUACUGUAUAAUUAUUGUAUUAGAUUUUUUCUCAUCGUAUGAAGAAGCAAAAUGAGAUAACUGUUUUCCGUUCGAUAAUCUUAAACGUUACAAUACGGUAUUUUACUUCAAUUUUCUACGAUUCAACCUAAUUUCUUCAUUGUCUCAACGAAUUCGGCGCCAUCCUCCAUUAACCGGAUUACACUCGAGAGCUCGUAAAGAUCUUCGAACGGGGACGACCGACUUUCUCACGAGUAUAUCUCUACUUUUAGCUAACCGAACGACCUUGACAUCGAUUCACAUUCACGUCCAUGACAAACGGAGAGGAACGUGACGCCUGUAUACUUCGACCAUGUUUGUGUGUCCUAUGUGUAUGUACUAUGCAUACAUAUAAACACACACACACACACACACAUAUAUAUAUAUAUAUAUACACAUAGAGAGGAAUGAUCGUUGCUUGACGUUGUUGUUGGCUCGUUGAGAGGAUAGCGCGCUUCGCGAAGCGCAAAGGUCGGGGAUACUCUGCAACCCGUUUCGGUAACGCGUAAAACUUUAUAGGCGACCAUAAAGACGGACGUUUAGCUUUAUUUGGGCAGUGUAAGAGGGAGAGACCGUUCUUAGCUGUCAAACGCAUGAGUUCGAGGGAACCUAACGGGAGAGAAUCUCUGAGGCCUAUGAACCGAGCGACGGCCGACGCUUUAGGCUUUUACCCGAAGGAACAAGAAAUUCGGAUGAAAAUAUUACUGGCACAACACCGGGAUAUCUUAAAUAUCAAUAUUUUAAACCACGAAGAAUACACAGAAUGUCAAUGAAUAUUCGAUGUCACAUAAAAUAUUUCACAUCGAUUUUGACUGUCGAAUGAAUCAAUGGCCAAUGGAAGGACGAUUAUUGCGAGGAAGAAACGAGAAGAAACAAGAGGAAAUAAAUCUUGAAUUUUUUGAGUACGAAUAAUUAUGAAUUUAGAUAUAAUCAUUGAAAAAAUUCUGUAUCUUCGGCAUUGGAGAGAUUUUAGGCCUAUUGGAGCAUUUUACGUUUCAAUGAAAAUACCA